RNAcentral lists this ribosomal RNA (484 nucleotides) under uncultured bacterium. RNAcentral describes it as "partial 16S ribosomal RNA". It matches the Rfam family "Bacterial small subunit ribosomal RNA", at positions 30 to 507 of the family's 1533-position model. The record is from RNAcentral.
AUUGAACGCUGGCGGCAGGCCUAACACAUGCAAGUCGAGCGGAUGAAGGGAGCUUGCUCCUGGAUUCAGCGGCGGACGGGUGAGUAAUGCCUAGGAAUCUGCCUGGUAGUGGGGGAUAACGUCCGGAAACGGGCGCUAAUACCGCAUACGUCCUGAGGGAGAAAGUGGGGGAUCUUCGGACCUCACGCUAUCAGAUGAGCCUAGGUCGGAUUAGCUAGUUGGUGGGGUAAGGGCCUACCAAGGCGACGAUCCGUAACUGGUCUGAGAGGAUGAUCAGUCACACUGGAACUGAGACACAGUCCAGACUCCUACGGGAGGCAGCAGUGGGGAAUAUUGGACAAUGGGCGAAAGCCUGAUCCAGCCAUGCCGCGUGUGUGAAGAAGGUCUUCGGAUUGUAAAGCACUUUAAGUUGGGAGGAAGGGCAGUAAGUUAAUACCUUGCUGUUUUGACGUUACCAACAGAAUAAGCACCGGCUAACUUCGUG